This 253-nucleotide ribosomal RNA is filed under the name uncultured bacterium. RNAcentral's name for it is "partial 16S ribosomal RNA". It matches the Rfam family "Bacterial small subunit ribosomal RNA", at positions 524 to 776 of the family's 1533-position model. The record is from RNAcentral.
UACGGGGGGAGCAAGCGUUGUUCGGAUUUACUGGGCGUAAAGGGCGCGUAGGCGGCGUGACAAGUCACUUGUGAAAUCUCCGGGCUUAACUCGGAACGGUCAAGUGAUACUGUCGUGCUAGAGUAUAGAAGGGGCAACUGGAAUUCUCGGUGUAGCGGUGAAAUGCGUAGAUAUCGAGAGGAACACCUGCGGCGAAGGCGGGUUGCUGGGCUGAUACUGACGCUGAGGCGCGAAAGCCAGGGGAGCGAACGGG